UUAAGCGACUAAGCGUACACGGUGGAUGCCCUGGCAGUCAGAGGCGAUGAAGGACGUGCUAAUCUGCGAUAAGCGUCGGUAAGGUGAUAUGAACCGUUAUAACCGGCGAUUUCCGAAUGGGGAAACCCAGUGUGUUUCGACACACUAUCAUUAACUGAAUCCAUAGGUUAAUGAGGCGAACCGGGGGAACUGAAACAUCUAAGUACCCCGAGGAAAAGAAAUCAACCGAGAUUCCCCCAGUAGCGGCGAGCGAACGGGGAGCAGCCCAGAGCCUGAAUCAGUGUGUGUGUUAGUGGAAGCGUCUGGAAAGGCGCGCGAUACAGGGUGACAGCCCCGUACACAAAAAUGCACAUGCUGUGAGCUCGAUGAGUAGGGCGGGACACGUGGUAUCCUGUCUGAAUAUGGGGGGACCAUCCUCCAAGGCUAAAUACUCCUGACUGACCGAUAGUGAACCAGUACCGUGAGGGAAAGGCGAAAAGAACCCCGGCGAGGGGAGUGAAAAAGAACCUGAAACCGUGUACGUACAAGCAGUGGGAGCACGCUUAGGCGUGUGACUGCGUACCUUUUGUAUAAUGGGUCAGCGACUUAUAUUCUGUAGCAAGGUUAACCGAAUAGGGGAGCCGAAGGGAAACCGAGUCUUAACUGGGCGUUAAGUUGCAGGGUAUAGACCCGAAACCCGGUGAUCUAGCCAUGGGCAGGUUGAAGGUUGGGUAACACUAACUGGAGGACCGAACCGACUAAUGUUGAAAAAUUAGCGGAUGACUUGUGGCUGGGGGUGAAAGGCCAAUCAAACCGGGAGAUAGCUGGUUCUCCCCGAAAGCUAUUUAGGUAGCGCCUCGUGAAUUCAUCUCCGGGGGUAGAGCACUGUUUCGGCAAGGGGGUCAUCCCGACUUACCAACCCGAUGCAAACUGCGAAUACCGGAGAAUGUUAUCACGGGAGACACACGGCGGGUGCUAACGUCCGUCGUGAAGAGGGAAACAACCCAGACCGCCAGCUAAGGUCCCAAAGUCAUGGUUAAGUGGGAAACGAUGUGGGAAGGCCCAGACAGCCAGGAUGUUGGCUUAGAAGCAGCCAUCAUUUAAAGAAAGCGUAAUAGCUCACUGGUCGAGUCGGCCUGCGCGGAAGAUGUAACGGGGCUAAACCAUGCACCGAAGCUGCGGCAGCGACACUAUGUGUUGUUGGGUAGGGGAGCGUUCUGUAAGCCUGUGAAGGUGUACUGUGAGGUAUGCUGGAGGUAUCAGAAGUGCGAAUGCUGACAUAAGUAACGAUAAAGCGGGUGAAAAGCCCGCUCGCCGGAAGACCAAGGGUUCCUGUCCAACGUUAAUCGGGGCAGGGUGAGUCGACCCCUAAGGCGAGGCCGAAAGGCGUAGUCGAUGGGAAACAGGUUAAUAUUCCUGUACUUGGUGUUACUGCGAAGGGGGGACGGAGAAGGCUAUGUUGGCCGGGCGACGGUUGUCCCGGUUUAAGCGUGUAGGCUGGUUUUCCAGGCAAAUCCGGAAAAUCAAGGCUGAGGCGUGAUGACGAGGCACUACGGUGCUGAAGCAACAAAUGCCCUGCUUCCAGGAAAAGCCUCUAAGCAUCAGGUAACAUCAAAUCGUACCCCAAACCGACACAGGUGGUCAGGUAGAGAAUACCAAGGCGCUUGAGAGAACUCGGGUGAAGGAACUAGGCAAAAUGGUGCCGUAACUUCGGGAGAAGGCACGCUGAUAUGUAGGUGAAGUCCCUCGCGGAUGGAGCUGAAAUCAGUCGAAGAUACCAGCUGGCUGCAACUGUUUAUUAAAAACACAGCACUGUGCAAACACGAAAGUGGACGUAUACGGUGUGACGCCUGCCCGGUGCCGGAAGGUUAAUUGAUGGGGUUAGCGCAAGCGAAGCUCUUGAUCGAAGCCCCGGUAAACGGCGGCCGUAACUAUAACGGUCCUAAGGUAGCGAAAUUCCUUGUCGGGUAAGUUCCGACCUGCACGAAUGGCGUAAUGAUGGCCAGGCUGUCUCCACCCGAGACUCAGUGAAAUUGAACUCGCUGUGAAGAUGCAGUGUACCCGCGGCAAGACGGAAAGACCCCGUGAACCUUUACUAUAGCUUGACACUGAACAUUGAGCCUUGAUGUGUAGGAUAGGUGGGAGGCUUUGAAGUGUGGACGCCAGUCUGCAUGGAGCCGACCUUGAAAUACCACCCUUUAAUGUUUGAUGUUCUAACGUUGACCCGUAAUCCGGGUUGCGGACAGUGUCUGGUGGGUAGUUUGACUGGGGCGGUCUCCUCCUAAAGAGUAACGGAGGAGCACGAAGGUUGGCUAAUCCUGGUCGGACAUCAGGAGGUUAGUGCAAUGGCAUAAGCCAGCUUGACUGCGAGCGUGACGGCGCGAGCAGGUGCGAAAGCAGGUCAUAGUGAUCCGGUGGUUCUGAAUGGAAGGGCCAUCGCUCAACGGAUAAAAGGUACUCCGGGGAUAACAGGCUGAUACCGCCCAAGAGUUCAUAUCGACGGCGGUGUUUGGCACCUCGAUGUCGGCUCAUCACAUCCUGGGGCUGAAGUAGGUCCCAAGGGUAUGGCUGUUCGCCAUUUAAAGUGGUACGCGAGCUGGGUUUAGAACGUCGUGAGACAGUUCGGUCCCUAUCUGCCGUGGGCGCUGGAGAACUGAGGGGGGCUGCUCCUAGUACGAGAGGACCGGAGUGGACGCAUCACUGGUGUUCGGGUUGUCAUGCCAAUGGCACUGCCCGGUAGCUAAAUGCGGAAGAGAUAAGUGCUGAAAGCAUCUAAGCACGAAACUUGCCCCGAGAUGAGUUCUCCCUGACCCUUUAAGGGUCCUGAAGGAACGUUGAAGACGACGACGUUGAUAGGCCGGGUGUGUAAGCGCAGCGAUGCGUUGAGCUAACCGGUACUAAUGAACCGUGAGGCUUAACCUU
RNAcentral lists this ribosomal RNA (2901 nucleotides) under Escherichia coli. RNAcentral describes it as "23S ribosomal RNA". It matches the Rfam family "Bacterial large subunit ribosomal RNA". Lineage: Bacteria; Pseudomonadati; Pseudomonadota; Gammaproteobacteria; Enterobacterales; Enterobacteriaceae. The record is from RNAcentral.